This 253-nucleotide ribosomal RNA is filed under the name uncultured bacterium. RNAcentral's name for it is "partial 16S ribosomal RNA". It matches the Rfam family "Bacterial small subunit ribosomal RNA", at positions 524 to 776 of the family's 1533-position model. The record is from RNAcentral.
UACGUAGGUGGCGAGCGUUGUCCGGAUUUACUGGGCGUAAUGGGAGCGUAGGCGGACUUUUAAGUGAGAUGUGAAAUACUCGGGCUCAACUUGAGUGCUGCAUUUCAAACUGGAAGUCUAGAGUGCAGGAGAGGAGAAUGGAAUUCCUAGUGUAGCGGUGAAAUGCGUAGAGAUUAGGAAGAACACCAGUGGCGAAGGCGAUUCUCUGGACUGUAACUGACGCUGAGGCUCGAAAGCGUGGGGAGCAAACAGG